Long non-coding RNA from Canis lupus familiaris (dog), 2963 nucleotides. RefSeq lists it as uncharacterized. The transcript has 8 exons. NCBI's taxonomy places the organism in Eukaryota, Metazoa, Chordata, Mammalia, Carnivora, Canidae. The record is from RefSeq and is a predicted model, not a curated record.
CUGACACUAUUUAGGGUAGGAAAGGUACUUCCUGUUGCUGGGUCUCAGGCUCUUCAAAGGUGGACACCCUAGGAUUGCUUGGAAACAAGAAAAGCUCGGUCUCAACUGGGUCCUUUCCUACUUCUGUACCUCAGAAAGGAAAAAAGAUGGGUUUUGUACAAUAUAGCGCAGUGCUCUUCGGAUGGUGGACCAGCAGCAGCAGCAGCAGCCCCUAAAAGCUUGUUAAGAAUGUGGCAUCUCAGGCUGCAUCCCACCUCUGCUGAAUCCGAAGCAGCACUUUGACAAGACCUGCUGGGGAUUCGUGGGCACAGUCAAGUUUGAGAAGCUCCAACGCAGAAUGAUGCAAAUGAUGCAGCGGUGCAGCUCCAUUGUGAAUAGUUACUGUGCUAAGCUCUCCUCCAGGGAAAAUACACAAGUGUGGGGCUGCCCAUUUAUUUCUGAGCCGAGAUUCAUGGUGAGAGUCUUUUCCCUGGAAGGUUUUUGCCCUCCUCUCCUCCUGCCGAAAUUGUCACCUGAGGACACGGGAUCCACGACUGAUAAUCUGAAUUUACUAACAACGCAUUCUAAGAAAGAAUUUCUGAAGGUUAUCUUCCUAGCAAGGCGUAUUGGGGAAAAAAAGCCAAUCGGUUACGCAUUUCUGGCAAGAAUACCAUAGAAGUGAUGUAUUCUUAUGUCUCAUAUCAAGAGGUCAGUAGUCGGCCGUUUCUCCGAAGACUCCUGUUUCCAAUUACCCGAGAAUGGAAUUUGUAAACCAAGAUCUGAGUGCCAGUGAAUGUACAAUUUGGAGACAUUUAAGUUCGCUGCCCAUAAUGGAGAGGGAAGAGAAAUUGAUGAAAACGGAGAUGUGACUGGGCACUAUGAUAUUCUGAACUGGCAAGUAGGUGAUCACGGAGAGAUUGCCUUUGUGAAGGUCGGAGAAUAUAUAGUCACAAACUCUAAGUUUGAACUCAUGAUGAAAAAGAAUGCAACGAUAUUUUGGAAGACAGAAUCAGCAAAGCCUGAGAUGGCAACAUAGGAAGACACUGAACUCACCUCCUCUAUGGACACACCAAAUCUAUACCUGUUUAUAGAGCAUUUCCUCCUGAAGAAGAACUGAAGGCUGACUGAACAGCUUCUGCACAACAAAAGAUAGAGUCCACUUUGAGACUAAGAGAGAUGGAGACGUGGUAACAAAGCUUCCUCAUUUGGUGUGUACUGAUCUACGUCAUCCUGGAACCCGGAAGGGGAUUCAUCGGGGAACCCGUAUGUCGCUUUGACUGCAUCCCAUGUGCUGAUGGACAGGAGUCUCGGGAACCAGGAGGAAACCACAGGAUGCAUCUGGACCUGCUCUCAGACUUGGAGACCGGAGUGACAUAGCCCUGAAGAAGCAGGCAGGCCAAAUGCAGGCUGUUCAUACGGGGCAGUGGAGAAUCUAGACCCUCGAAGCCUCUUAGCUGAGUUCUUCAAAGUGGAAGAGAUGUAUAGAUGCCAAAGGUGGUCACAAAAUUAGCUUGGAGUUCCACGCUGGAGCCAAUUGGCUCCUUAUGGCAUCAGGCUCCCGACCUGUGGCCACUGCAUUCCCUUCCCACACUCCCCUCCCCUCCUCCUUCCCAUAUCCUCCUCUCGCUCUGUCUCCUAGACCAGCGGGAUAGUAUGUUGUAUCUGUCAGCUUCUAGCCAGAAAACCAGCGUCCUCACUGGGUAGUUCAGUAGAGGGUAUUUAGUGUGGUCAUGGAGGUUUUGGGAAAGAUGCCUGGCCAAACAGUAGACAGCUAGGCAGCUCAAAGAUUAGCAAUACCAUCCUGCUCAAGUGGCAGAUGGAGAAAGUACUAAAGCCCAGGGGGCAGGGCUACCUGGUAAGAGCUGGAACUAAGCUAGGGGGCUUGCUUGAUAGGGCCUGAAAAUAAAGAGGGAGGGGCUGGCUGGGAGAGGCUGGAAUCCUGGAGAUGUGCGAAUGCUGGAGACGUUGCCUAAAGCAGAGAGGGAAGAGAACAUCUUGUCUUCUCCCUCUCUUUUGUCCCAACAUCUUCCCCGCACCCCAGGCUCCCAUUGGCUGAACCUAGAGAGAAAUCAGUAGGGAGUCUGAGAAAUGUUGUUCGCAGGUGUCAGCCUCCUGCAACACAGAGCAGAGUUGGAGGAGGCUGAAGGAACGGAAGUGAAAGCAAAUGGAGAACUGAUCAGCACAUAGGACAGACAGACGGAGGGCUCCGGGCAUGAAUUCUAGGAUGGCAAGCUACUUUAGUUAGUCUAUGCAUGGACCCUUGUAAGACCUUAUAGGAUUAGCCUCUGGAUCCUGCAUGCCUAAAGGAAGUGGUGGGAAUCUGUGGACUCUUAGACCCAGCCCGGAUGGCGAACACAGAGGUAGGUGGUUCAGCCUGAGGAUGUGUCCUCGGGAGGAUCAACGCCAGCAUCUGUGCUGUGCAUCCUGGGCCCAUGAAUCAGAGUGCGCAUCACGUGGGAGCCGGGGGCUCAGAGAGGCCCUGCUGACACACUCCAGCCAACCGAUGCUCAGGAGGAUGGGCCUGAGAAACGAACUGACCUCCAGUUUCUCCAGGCCCGAAGAAUGGAAGGAAAACCAAAGCUGGGAGCUCCUAGGCAGGAGUUGGGAUACAGCUUGUGGAAAAGAUUUGCAGUUUGUAAAAAGAUUGUAAAGUGUGUGAGGGAGGCAGCACUGGGCAGGUCUAGAACUCUGGGCCUUUCAACGUGUCUUAAGGAGAACUGCCCAUCAGAAAUCAUGACAUGAGGAGCCUGUUAUGAACCUCAUCAUGGCAUUCCAGGACCUGGUGAGACGGAUAUGGCUUGAAUUCUGACUCUGUCAUUUACUGGCUCUGUGACCUCAACAGAGUUGUCUAGCCUUCUGCAGACUCAGUCUCUCAUCCAUAAAAUGGGGACAAUUGUAAUAUCUCAACAUUUGAGAUGAUGCAUGUAAAACACUUGUCUCUGUUUGGCAUGUAGCAAGCGCUCAAUAAACAUUGUUUGGUUUUA